UACGUAGGGGGCUAGCGUUAUCCGGAUUUACUGGGCGUAAAGGGUGCGUAGGCGGUCUUUUAAGUCAGGAGUGAAAGGCUACGGCUCAACCGUAGUAAGCUCUUGAAACUGGAGGACUUGAGUACAGGAGAGGAGAGUGGAAUUCCUAGUGUAGCGGUGAAAUGCGUAGAUAUUAGGAGGAACACCAGUAGCGAAGGCGGCUCUCUGGACUGUAACUGACGCUGAGGCACGAAAGCGUGGGGAGCAAACAGG
Molecule: ribosomal RNA, 252 nt
Filed under: Intestinibacter bartlettii DSM 16795
Lineage: Bacteria; Bacillati; Bacillota; Clostridia; Peptostreptococcales; Peptostreptococcaceae
Description: partial 16S ribosomal RNA
Rfam family: Bacterial small subunit ribosomal RNA
Source: RNAcentral